UAUAAUAGGUGACCGACCAAAGCGUGAAUUGGUAUAUAUUCCAAGACACUCAUCAUCCGAAAGGAGGGCUUGGAAAAGCAAAUCGACUUACAGGAUGGACAUUCAACUCCGCAACGGGAAAAUGAAUCUUACUCAGCUGGGGAAAAAACCCAAAGAGUACAUGAAAUAUAAUAUCCAUUACCGUCAGAACGUGGAUAGUAUACUCGCAUGAGGUACAUUAUCUAUUACCGUCAGAACAUAGAUAAUAUACUCGCAAGGAAGGAACACCAGAG
Molecule: long non-coding RNA, 272 nt
Filed under: Lathyrus oleraceus (garden pea)
Lineage: Eukaryota; Viridiplantae; Streptophyta; Magnoliopsida; Fabales; Fabaceae
Description: Pisum sativum (pea) long non-coding RNA (PSAT_LNC026313)
Source: RNAcentral